UGGUGUGUAGCCUCACCUAUUGGUUUGUUUCUGUUAAAUCUGUGAACCAAUCGGAGCGUGUUAUGAUUUUGUGGUUGCUCAUUGGUUGGUGCUACCCAAAUCUUCAAACCAAUAGGAGCAGGUUUUGUAGGAUAUAAGAAUCCUAGUUGUGUAGCACCUGAAAAACGUCAUCAUUGACGUCAUGCCCUGUAUGGAAGCGCUCUUUGUGAAUGAGCGGAGGGCGGCUGCGCGUCAUUCAUUAUCACCCUUGGCGUUGCGUGUUGUGAAUGAGAGGAUCGGCUUUUAGCUGGUUCCCAGAUGGCUGUGUGUUGCAGUAUUCGCAGCAGCUACAGUGUGCUGCACAUGAUGCGAUCUGGUAAUACACCUCGGAUGAUUGACCGGGCGUGACGUUUCAUUAACCCCUCGAUAAAUAUAAGUUUCGGACUACAUUGCUGCUUUGCCUGGAGUUUGUUUCUUUCGUGUGUGUGUGGGGAUUCGUCUAGUGGCACAUCCUCACCCUUUAUUGGACUGCAUCCCUUCAGGGGCUCGGGCUGGGAGGCGUAUAAUCUGGAUUCAGCCCUGCCUACAACGUUUAUUGGCAUGCAGGAGUGGUUGUCGGUGUGACGUAUCGACCAGUGUUAUUUUUUUUGUUUAAUGUUUUGAUUUGUUUAAUUUAGUGUUGUAUUUAUUCACUUCUAUAAAGUGGGAGCUUGCGCCGGAAUGUGUGUAGUUUACACUAUUUGCUGUGAGAAUUUUUGUGGUGUUUUCACGAGUGUAUUUUUAUAUAGUGUGGGGUGACCUCUUGACUUCCUGAAGGCGAGCUCCCCUUAUUGAUGUGAUUUUUGUAUUUUUUUUUGUUUACUGUCAUACAUGUUUUCUAUUUAUUAUAAUAAACAAAUUAUAUUUUUCAUAAUUCAUUGUUUGUAUCUUUCUCACCCCACCCACGACUAUUGGACCUGUGUGUCUUAGUUAAAGAUUUCCCGGGUUUCCCCGGGUGGCGUAGUCGGAACAUUGGUAUCUCAAAAUUUGCAAUUCACCGCUCUGCUACAUUCUGGCGUAGUCGGCAGGGUUGUCAUGGGUUGGGGUGAGUUGGAUAAUACUUUUCUUUGUAUGUUGAAAAUGUUUAGUAUGUAUAGAAGUAGUGUUUUUUCUCCUAAAGGCAAAGCAGCAGUGUGUGUCCAGUUGGAUAAAUCCCAGCGAUGGGCUCCCUCUUACUACGUCAGGUGGUGAGUUGUUAUAGAAAUGGUGAAGGGAGUUAAUUGUGUGUGUGUGUUUGUUUCAGCUGGGGUCCCGUAGUGUUUGGAACCAGCUGAGUACGGUAGAGUCCAGGAGCAGUUCCUGAGGCUGAGGUAAAACGUUAGGGAUUAUUUUAAGGUGGUGUUAGUGCUUGAGUGAUGACGAUAGGUUGAAGCUAGGGCAUUGCUGAAGCAGCAUUUGCUUGGGGUUUCAGUUUAUGUGAGGGUAAGAACAUACUAGCUAUACUGUUAUUUUCGGCCAGUGGGGUCCCGCAGAGUGUGCGGUGGAACCAUUUGGUUGAUCUUAGAGCAGUAUUUGGCCUACCUGUGAUAUUAACGUCAGGGUAGGAAUAUAUUAGUUGUACUUCCCGUGUCAUCUUUGGCCGAUGGGGUCCUGCAGAGUGUGCGGUGGAACCAUUUGGUUGAUUUUAGCAGUAUUUAGCCCACCUGUGAUUUUAACAAUGGACAUGGUGUGAGUCAUACUCCCCGUGUCACGUUUUGGCGGAUGGGGUCCCACAGAAUGUGUGUGGUGGAACUGUUUGACCGAUUUUAAAGCUGUAUGUACUUGUGAUUUUUCGUAUAGGAUGUGGUGUGAGUCAAACUCCCCGCAUCAAACUGUGGCUGAUGGGGUCCCGCGGAGUGUGUGUGGCGGAGCCAUCUAGCAGAUUUUAAAGUUUACCUGUGAUCGUAAUAUGACGUGGCGCGAGCCAUACUCCCCUGCGUCGUAUCAGCCGAUGGGGUCCCACAGUGUGUGUGGUGGAACCAGUCAGUAUAUUUUAAAAGUGUAGAUGUUCUGCAAAUAAGUCGCUGUCAUGGUAAUGAGUGCUGCAGGUCGGCGCCCUACCUUAUAUUACCUUUUGGGUAAGUACGGGUUUUGACAAACCUGGCCCUUAAGGUGAUCAGUGUGUUGUGAACAUUUAUUGCGGAUGUAUGGGCGAGGUUAUGAGUCUAGCUUUUCCUGAUGUCCUGUGUAAUAUCUGAGCUCUGAUGAGGUAAUCGUCGGGGCGACGAUUCAUAAGCUGGGGGUGAAUGUGGUGGUGUGUAGCCUCACCUAUUGGUUUGUUUCUGUUAAAUCUGUGAACCAAUCGGAGCGUGUUAUGAUUUUGUGGUUGCUCAUUGGUUGGUGCUACCCAAAUCUUCAAACCAAUAGGAGCAGGUUUUGUAGGAUAUAAGAAUCCUAGUUGUGUAGCACCUGAAAAACGUCAUCAUUGACGUCAUGCCCUGUAUGGAAGCGCUCUUUGUGAAUGAGCGGAGGGCGGCUGCGCGUCAUUCAUUAUCACCCUUGGCGUUGCGUGUUGUGAAUGAGAGGAUCGGCUUUUAGCUGGUUCCCAGAUGGCUGUGUGUUGCAGUAUUCGCAGCAGCUACAGAUAAAUGUAAGUUCAGUUUCGGACUACAUUGCUGCUUUGCCUGGAGUUUGUUUCUUUCGUGUGUGUGUGGGGAUCCAUCUAGUGGCACAUCCUCACCCUUUAUUGGACUGCAUCCAUUCAGGGGCUCGGGCUGGGAGGCGUAUAAUCUGGAUUGAGCCCUGCCUACAACGUUUAUUGGCAUGCAGGAGUGGUUGUCGGUGUGACGUAUCGACCAGUGUUAUUUUUUUUGUUUAAUGUUUUGAUUUGUUUAAUUUAGUGUUGUAUUUAUUCACUUCUAUAAAGUGGGAGCUUGCGCCGGAAUGUGUGUAGUUUACACUAUUUGCUGUGAGAAUUUUUGUGGUGUUUUCACGAGUGUAUUUUUAUAUAGUGUGGGGUGACCUCUUGACUUCCUGAAGGCGAGCUCCCCUUAUUGAUGUGAUUUUUGUAUUUCUUUGUUUACUGUCAUACAUGUCUUCUAUUUAUUAUAAUAAACAAAUUAUAUUUUUCAUAAUUCAUUGUUUGUAUCUUUCUCACCCCACCCACGACUAUUGGACCUGUGUGUCUUAGUUAAGAUUUCCCGGGUUUCCCGGGUGGCGUAGUCGGAACCUUGGUAUCUCAAAAUUGGUAAUCCACCGC
Molecule: non-coding RNA, 3196 nt
Organism: Misgurnus anguillicaudatus (oriental weatherfish)
Lineage: Eukaryota; Metazoa; Chordata; Actinopteri; Cypriniformes; Cobitidae
Source: RefSeq, a predicted model, not a curated record